RNAcentral lists this ribosomal RNA (253 nucleotides) under uncultured bacterium. RNAcentral's name for it is "partial 16S ribosomal RNA". It matches the Rfam family "Bacterial small subunit ribosomal RNA", at positions 524 to 776 of the family's 1533-position model. The record is from RNAcentral.
UACGUAGGGGGCAAGCGUUGUCCGGAUUUAUUGGGCGUAAAGAGCGUGUAGGCGGCCAGGUAGGUCGGUUGUGAAAACUGGAGGCUCAACCUUCAGAGGUCGACCGAAACCAUCUGGCUAGAGUCCGGGAGAGGAGAGUGGAAUUCCACGUGUAGCAGUGAAAUGCGUAGAGAUGUGGAGGAACACCGAUGGCGAAGGCAGCCCCCUGGGUCAACACUGACGCUCAUGCACGAAAGCGUGGGGAGCAAACAGG